This 683-nucleotide long non-coding RNA is filed under the name Coturnix japonica (Japanese quail). RNAcentral's name for it is "lncRNA (ENSCJPG00005016193.1)". The record is from RNAcentral. Lineage: Eukaryota; Metazoa; Chordata; Aves; Galliformes; Phasianidae.
UUGCUUCAAAGCGAUGUUAACUGUAGGGUGAUGAAUACCUGAUAAAAUGAGCUAAAAGCACUGGGGAGUCCCUGAGCAGGAGCCUGCUAUAUUGAAAAAGAGGCAGUAUCUAAAUAAACUCUAAAAGUGUUUCCCAGUGACUGCUUUAGUUCUUUGAUCAUAAUAUGCUAGGACAAAUGUCAGGAAAUAUGAGUCUACAAAGUGAUCUCUAAGAUGACAGAGGAAAGCAACAACUUUCAAGCUGAAAAAUGAAGUUAUCUCCUGUAAUGACUUGGGUUCAGGGAGUACUGAGCUUCCACUUCAAGCAGCCAGCUCUGGAAACAACUGGGAGACCAUUUCUUCAGAGAAAGAAGCACUCUUUUUAUAAACUAUUUCCCAUAUUUUUCAAAAACUCAUUUUCUCUUGUUAGUUUGCAUGUGGGAGGACAUCGCAAAUAUUGAUUCCAGCUGGGCUACUUCUACACCAGAUUCUGAGAUGCAUUGCAAAACUCAGUAGAUUGCAGAUCUGCCUAGUAAGUUCUUAUUUCAGUCAGCAAACAUUUAGUACACAGGCAGCAGAAUUUGAACUUCUCUAUAUUGAUUUUCUGUUUGUGAGCCACAUUCCUGAAAGUACAUAUUUUACCCAUGGAAAAUGUUAAUGUUCUUAUCAAUAAAGAGGGCUGUUGGUCAUUAUCUUCUUAUUUC